GACGAACGCUGGCGGCGUGCUUAACACAUGCAAGUCGUACGGUAAGGCCCUUUCGGGGGUACACGAGUGGCGAACGGGUGAGUAACACGUGAGUAACCUGCCCACAACUUUGGGAUAACGCUAGGAAACUGGUGCUAAUACUGGAUAUGUGCUCCUGCUGCAUGGUGGGGGUUGGAAAGCUCCGGCGGUUGUGGAUGGACUCGCGGCCUAUCAGCUUGUUGGUGGGGUAGUGGCCUACCAAGGCGGCGACGGGUAGCCGGCCUGAGAGGGUGACCGGCAACAUUGGGACUGGGAUACGGCCCAGACUCCUACGGGAGGCAGCAGUGGGGAAUAUUGCACAAUGGGCGCAAGCCUGAUGCAGCAGCGCCGCGUGCGGGAUGACGGCCUUCGGGUUGUAAACCGCUUUCAGCAGGGACGAAGCUUUUUGUGACGGUACCUGCAGAAGAAGCACCGGCUAACUACGUG
This 465-nucleotide ribosomal RNA is filed under the name uncultured bacterium. RNAcentral's name for it is "partial 16S ribosomal RNA". It matches the Rfam family "Bacterial small subunit ribosomal RNA", at positions 28 to 507 of the family's 1533-position model. The record is from RNAcentral.